UUCUCUGGAAGAGAGCUCUCUUCAGUCCACUCUGAAAUGGCCGUAGGGUUUCAUUAGCUGCCGACUCAUCCAUUCACUUGCCAAGACCCAUCGACGGGCAAUGUCUUGGCAGCUGAGUGGAUGGCGCGGGAGCUAAAAUCAAGCUCUACGCUGUUUGUGGUUGGACUGAAGGGUGCUCCCUUGCUCGCUUGU
This 192-nucleotide microRNA precursor is filed under the name Setaria italica (foxtail millet). RNAcentral's name for it is "pre miRNA MIR159". It matches the Rfam family "MIR159 microRNA precursor family". RNAcentral also lists the same sequence under 1 other name. The record is from Rfam by way of RNAcentral. Lineage: Eukaryota; Viridiplantae; Streptophyta; Magnoliopsida; Poales; Poaceae.